RNAcentral lists this small RNA (80 nucleotides) under Flavobacterium sp. 245. Its description in RNAcentral is "Flavo-1 RNA". It matches the Rfam family "Flavo-1 RNA". Lineage: Bacteria; Pseudomonadati; Bacteroidota; Flavobacteriia; Flavobacteriales; Flavobacteriaceae. The record is from RNAcentral.
AAUUAGCCCCGAUUGAAGUGGAAAUCCUUUUGCUUUUUUCUUUAAAAAGCAAAAGAUUGUAACGAAAAGCGGGAACGAUG